Mauremys mutica (yellowpond turtle) is the source of this 3562-nucleotide long non-coding RNA. RefSeq lists it as uncharacterized. The record is from RefSeq and is a predicted model, not a curated record. The transcript has 5 exons. NCBI's taxonomy places the organism in Eukaryota, Metazoa, Chordata, Testudines, Geoemydidae.
GCUAUUGAACAAAGUUUUGAUCAAGAUGGGAAUGCUAAUGGAACAUCAGUUGAAGUCAGGAUACAAAAAACACAGCACUCGGUAUUGUCCUGGAAGCUUGUGGAGGUCAUGACAGAAUACAAUAAGAUCCAGACUCAGUUUCGAGAACGCAGCAAAGGACGGAUACAGCGACAGUUAGAAAUAAAUUAUAUCGGACUCCCAAAUUACUAGACAAGCUCUGAAUGAAAUUGAGUCACGACACAAAGAUAUUAUGAAACUGGAAUCCAAUAUGCGGGCGCUACAUGACAUGUUUACGGACAUGGCUAUGUUUGUUGAGACUCAGGUCCUAGCACAAUGGGAAUCUGGUCUGUGACUGGGACUAUGAGGCAGUACUGCAAUACAAAUAAUCACAUGCUGAUCUACAGAAAUACUUUUGUACCCUGGCCAUCCCCAUUGGUUUAAGAGAUUAGUCACUGAAAAUGGAAGUAUGUGAACUUGACAUCUGCAGUUUAACUCAGUCCCAUUGUCUCCUGCACUGAGUGUUCUUUCUGCUCAGUACACGCUGUCUGAAUGCACAGGAGAACCGUGCUGGAUGGUGACAAAGAGCCUGGAGACUUUUUCCCCAUUUGAUGGGUUUUGUGGUGAGCUGGGUCAUGUAUAUGGACCUGGAGAAGAAAGAGGAGGUGUCAUUCAUUUGGAUGAAGAGGAAUUUUGGACAAUGGAUUAUGUCUGGAAAGGCAGGUGUUCUGUUUCACUGAUCAGCUCUCUCCCCAAAGUGCAGGGAAGCAACAAGCAUUAGCUUCAGACUCUUGCGGCAACUUUAUUCACAGUGAAUUUCAUUGCAUAUGUCCCGCUUGCUGAUGCCACCAUGGCAAUAGGUAACACAUGAAUACAAGCCAAGUUUGAUUUAAAAAAAAAAUUGCCUCAGGUUAGGCUGUUGUGUUCAUAUCUAGGUCCCCAAAUAAAUGGCUUGACUUGUACUAGCACUGAGUGCUAAGAAAUUCCCAAUAGGUACUCAUUUUUAAAAACAAUAUUGAACAAAGUCCACUGGGAAUGUGAAGCAGUUUUGCUAUAUAGAAAGAGUAGCAAGCUCCAGCAAACAGGCUGCUUUCAAUUAUCUUUGCACUAUACCCAUUAUUGGAGCAUGACUUUAGUCUAAGUCUAACUUUUCUAUGUUGCAGCUGUGCGGGUAUUGUAUUUCCACUAACCCCACCUCCCAGGCACCUGGGAGAUGCAAGGGGCUAAUCAUCUGUAUUGUAAAGUUUGAGCUGAGUUUUUGGGGGAGAAAAACCCAGAGCUGGCGUUGCUGGGCAAAGUAAUGUAAAACCUACCAUCGCUCAUUUCUCUCUCUCUUCCUCUCUCUCUCUGAAGGAGGAAUCAUUUUCAUUCGCCUCUAAAUGUCACAGAGUUGAGAAGCUUUGACCCAGCUGUUAAACUUAUUGGCCCACCCCGACCAUUUCACCAGUAGCUGCUUUUUUCUCCCUUUUCCUUUCUCUGCUAGAACUUUUCAAUCCUAAAUUCUCACAGAGGUGGUGAAGGACUCCAUUUUUCCUCUCUGUUUCCAUGAUUUCUAAAACAUGCAUUCUUGGAACAAAAUGGCCUCUUCCAUGUUGUGCUGGGACUUCUGGGGGUGAUGCUGCAUUUUGAUGUGUAGAGGGCGAUGGGGGAGCUCUUAGAGGGGUCACACGACCCUCUUCUGUAUGGGUCAUCUCGCCCAGAGCUCCCUUCCCCCCCGAUUGGUCAAAUCCACUCUUGGGAAGGUCCUCAGUCGCUGAAGCCCAUCCUGAUUGGCAGAGGGCUAUGGAGGCAUUCUUAGAGGAGUCAUGUGACCCUCUUUCGGCCUGAUCACUCCACCCCGGAACACCCCCAGAUUGGUCAGAUCUCCUCUCAGGGUGGUCCUAUGGGUGUGUGUGUGUGUGUGUGUGUCAUCCUGAUUGGCAGAGGGCGGUCGGAGGAGUUCUUAGAGGGGUCACAUGACACCCUUUACUUCUGUGUCCGUCUUGACCCUGAAAAUAGUAUCCCUGGGUCAGAGAUGUCAGGUUGGAACUGGCCAACUCACUGGGUAGAAUGUGCAUCUAGGGCUGCAUUUGGUGAAGAGAACCCCCACUUGCUGCAGUGCAGUGGGAAUCCACAUGAAGUUUCCUUAGGAUCAUUUUCCUAGCCAACAAAGGAGGAAUUGUGAGCUGUGUCAGGUCAGCUAGUCAAGUGGGAAGGAGCUGGUACAGUCCAGAAAGUGAAUCAGUCCUGUCUGGGAAAUCAGACCCAUGUUGAUAAACAGUGUGAUUGGAGGUUUUUCCCUGGGAGACUGAGUAUUCAGUUAAUCUCUUUCCUGCUUAGCCAGCAUGAACGCAGAGCUAUAAAUAGAAAUGCAAAGGAGUGAAGUGAUCUACCUGCGAAAUACAUGGAUUCCAGUGAUAGCCCUGGUUGGGGAGAGCUCUUUCUGGGGCCAGUGAUACCAUCUUCUAGAGUCUGUGCUGGCUGGAGGGGAUUAUGGAUAACAAGGACCACUGCCAUUGUCCAGACAGGUGCUCAGACACCAUGAUGAUACAUGCAGUGUAAACCCCAGACAGGCAGAUUAAAUAGACAGAAAUUGUGGCUCACAUGCUGCCAACCACUCGUUCUUUGCCCUUGCAGAGUGUGUUCCUCAGUUAUCAGCAUCCUUUCAGCCUAAGGUUGUCUAAUGUUUGCCUAGAUUAAGAAAGAAGUUGAGGUCCCAUGCUAAUACUAACCUUGUUUCCCAAUCUAGACAAACCUAAAACUAGAACAGGUGGAGUUACACUUAUUGGAAUCUGUCAUGUCACGGGGUAUUGUGGUGAUAGCAACGCAGCCUGGGGAAAGCUUGUAAAUACCCUAGGCAGACCAGCAGGUUCAGAAUAUGCAUAGGCCCCAGCAAACCCUGUCUCUCUCCAUUGCUCCCUGCAGUGAACACAGCCAGUCAGACUCCUGUGGCAGGUUUCUUCUCCAGCCCUUCAGGGAGGGCGCAGUGCUCUCAGAGAGUAUUUGCAGUGACACAGGCAGUCUUUCCAAAACAAGGUAACAAUUUAUUAGUUUAUUGGCCUAAAGAAUCUGAAAGUCUUUAGGUUAACAAAGAAAAGCCAAGGUUAAGAUAGAGUUCAGCCUGGCCAACCCUAGGCCUGGGCUCCCUAGUGCUAAGUGUGUGUGUCUCUCCAAAGGCCAACUCUUAACCCCCCCACCUUCCACCUUUCCUCUUCGUUCUCUAGCUGGAGCCUUUGUUCCGAGUACCUGUAGGAAGGUGGGGGAAAACUCCUUGUUGUUGGUUGCUAGAUGGGAACAUCCCACCCACUGUGGUUCCCAUUGUCUUUCCAGAUGCUCCAUUGAUACGGGGCGGUUUCAGCCAAUGCUUAACUACCUCUACCACCCCAGACAGAUGUGUGACACAACGCCGCACGUCCCCUCCUGCCUCAAGAGCACAUUUUUAAUCCUUUAUGUUCCAUGCAUAGCAAUUCAAAGCACAGAGGGAAAAUGAGGCAUGCGUAAGAAUCAUAAACAUAUUACCAAAAUUCCCACUUUGUCAUAUUUACAACCUCAGGGAGGCAAACCGAGACCGUGAGGGGAGAGCCUA